GAUGAACGCUGGCUACAGGCUUAACACAUGCAAGUCGAGGGGAAACGACGGGGAAGCUUGCUUCCCCGGGCGUCGACCGGCGCACGGGUGAGUAACGCGUAUCCAACCUGCCUCUGACUGAGGGAUAACCCGUCGAAAGUCGGCCUAAUACCUCAUGGCAUCGUCUGCGGGCAUCCAACGACGAUUAAAGAUUUCAUCGGUCAGAGAUGGGGAUGCGUCUGAUUAGCUUGUUGGCGGGGUAACGGCCCACCAAGGCGACGAUCAGUAGGGGUUCUGAGAGGAAGGUCCCCCACAUUGGAACUGAGACACGGUCCAAACUCCUACGGGAGGAAGCAGUGAGGAAUAGUGGUCAAUGGGCGAGAGCCUGAACCAGCCAAGUAGCGUGCAGGAUGACGGCCCUAUGGGUUGUAAACUGCUUUUAUGCGGGGAUAAAGUGAGGGACGUGUCCUUCAUUGCAGGUACCGCAUGAAUAAGGACCGGCUAAUUCCGUG
This 491-nucleotide ribosomal RNA is filed under the name uncultured bacterium. Its description in RNAcentral is "partial 16S ribosomal RNA". It matches the Rfam family "Bacterial small subunit ribosomal RNA", at positions 28 to 507 of the family's 1533-position model. The record is from RNAcentral.